This 253-nucleotide ribosomal RNA is filed under the name uncultured bacterium. RNAcentral's name for it is "partial 16S ribosomal RNA". It matches the Rfam family "Bacterial small subunit ribosomal RNA", at positions 524 to 776 of the family's 1533-position model. The record is from RNAcentral.
UACGUAGGGUGCAAGCGUUAAUCGGAAUUACUGGGCGUAAAGCGUGCGCAGGCGGCUAUGCAAGUCAGAUGUGAAAUCCCCGGGCUCAACCUGGGAACUGCAUUUGUGACUGCAUGGCUAGAGUACGGUAGAGGGGGAUGGAAUUCCGCGUGUAGCAGUGAAAUGCGUAGAUAUGCGGAGGAACACCGAUGGCGAAGGCAAUUCCCUGGACCUGUACUGACGCUCAUGCACGAAAGCGUGGGGAGCAAACAGG